CCCGGUGCAGUUCAAUGACUUAGAACAGAUAUUGUGCAGUCUUAGGAAACAUACGAUGCAGGUUUGAAUCCUGCCGCCGGGA
This 82-nucleotide transfer RNA is filed under the name Dysgonamonadaceae bacterium. RNAcentral's name for it is "tRNA-Leu". The record is from RNAcentral. Lineage: Bacteria; Pseudomonadati; Bacteroidota; Bacteroidia; Bacteroidales; Dysgonomonadaceae.